RNAcentral lists this ribosomal RNA (253 nucleotides) under uncultured Ruegeria sp. RNAcentral describes it as "partial 16S ribosomal RNA". It matches the Rfam family "Bacterial small subunit ribosomal RNA", at positions 8 to 289 of the family's 1533-position model. The record is from RNAcentral. Lineage: Bacteria; Pseudomonadati; Pseudomonadota; Alphaproteobacteria; Rhodobacterales; Roseobacteraceae.
AGAGUUUGAUCAUGGCUCAGAACGAACGCUGGCGGCAGGCUUAACACAUGCAAGUCGAGCGCUCUCUUCGGAGGGAGCGGCGGACGGGUUAGUAACGCGUGGGAACGUGCCCUUCUCUAAGGAAUAGCCACUGGAAACGGUGAGUAAUACCUUAUACGCCCUUCGGGGGAAAGAUUUAUCGGAGAAGGAUCGGCCCGCGUUAGAUUAGAUAGUUGGUGGGGUAACGGCCUACCAAGUCUACGAUCUAUAGCUG